Long non-coding RNA from Podarcis raffonei (Aeolian wall lizard), 1019 nucleotides. RefSeq lists it as uncharacterized. The record is from RefSeq and is a predicted model, not a curated record. Lineage: Eukaryota; Metazoa; Chordata; Lepidosauria; Squamata; Lacertidae. The transcript is spliced from 2 exons.
UAUGAUUUUCUCCAUGACCAUCAGGACUGCUCUUCUUCGUCUCCCCCUCCCUCUCUUCCUGCAACUCUCACCUGCUGUCUCUAUCUUUCUUCUAUCCAAGCGCCACUUGGCACUCCACUCACAGUUCCAAUAGCACCACUGGCCAACCUGGGAGAUGGUCCUGCAGGGCUGAUGAGAUGGGUGCCUAGAGUAGCCUGCAUGCCUUGCCUGGCCUCCCAGAUGGGCAUGUGUGCUCCUAGCCACUCCAAGCCAUGGGUGAGAGGUGCGGUUUUGGUGGCCCCCUGAGCCUGCACUUUUUGGUGGGAGGUAAGGUUGUAUAGGUGUCCCUGAUUUUGAGUUCAGUAACAUGGUCUAAUUAUGUGCAUCCACACACCAUAUAGAUGAAUGCUUCCCUUCAGACUAGAGCUGUCUCCAACCAAUUCACUCACAAGCACAAGCAUGCUCCAUAGGCAGGCUAGUAGCUACUGGCCGAACAUUAACCAGAACUAAACAACAAAGCAUAAUAUAUUUGAAAAGUACAAUGAAAAGGCAUGUGCCAAAUCCUCCCCAUAUCAAAGUUAAAUAGCAUUUAUGUUUUUCCUACAUUCUUGAGAGGGCCAGAGGGGCUGUAAGCGCAAGUGCACACCCACCCCAACAGGGGAAGGGAAAUUCUCCAGCUGCAAGAGCCAACCUCUUGGGACCACUCAGGAGGUACUUGUGGCUGGGGAAAGCCUCACACAGCUCCCUCUCUCCUGUUGCAGGCAGUGCUCCAGGGCCUGAGAGUUCAAAUAACGACAGUGAGAAAUUGCCAUGAUUUGAUCCUGUCCCCUGGAGAGUCCCAAAGCUGUUGUCUAUGUCUUAGGGAGAUGUUGGCAGCCCCCUGGUGUGUGAAGAAGCCCUCCAAGGACUGCUGUCCUGGAAGAAAAGCUGCAGUGAAGAGAACCGGCUGGGGCUGUACACCAAGGUCUGCAUCUUUGAAGACUGGAUCCACUACACAAUUGCCAACAACUGAAGAGCAAUAAAGCCAGAUUGAGCUCUGA